UACGUAGGGUGCAAGCGUUAAUCGGAAUUACUGGGCGUAAAGCGUGCGCAGGCGGUGAUGUAAGACAGAUGUGAAAUCCCCGGGCUUAACCUGGGAACUGCAUUUGUGACUGCAUGGCUAGAGUACGGUAGAGGGGGAUGGAAUUCCGCGUGUAGCAGUGAAAUGCGUAGAUAUGCGGAGGAACACCGAUGGCGAAGGCAAUCCCCUGGACCUGUACUGACGCUCAUGCACGAAAGCGUGGGGAGCAAACAGG
This 253-nucleotide ribosomal RNA is filed under the name uncultured bacterium. Its description in RNAcentral is "partial 16S ribosomal RNA". It matches the Rfam family "Bacterial small subunit ribosomal RNA", at positions 524 to 776 of the family's 1533-position model. The record is from RNAcentral.